GCCGGGGUGGCGAAACAGGCAGACGCUUCGGUCUCAAAAACCGAUGGGGGAAACCCCGUGCGGGUUCGAGUCCCGCCCCCGGCACCA
Molecule: transfer RNA, 87 nt
Filed under: Pseudomonadota bacterium
Lineage: Bacteria; Pseudomonadati; Pseudomonadota
Also listed under: 2 other names
Description: tRNA-Leu
Rfam family: tRNA
About the family: Transfer RNA (tRNA) molecules are approximately 80 nucleotides in length. Their secondary structure includes four short double-helical elements and three loops (D, anti-codon, and T loops).
Source: RNAcentral